This 402-nucleotide ribosomal RNA is filed under the name uncultured Rhizobiaceae bacterium. Its description in RNAcentral is "bacterial SSU rRNA". It matches the Rfam family "Bacterial small subunit ribosomal RNA", at positions 355 to 774 of the family's 1533-position model. The record is from RNAcentral. Lineage: Bacteria; Pseudomonadati; Pseudomonadota; Alphaproteobacteria; Hyphomicrobiales; Rhizobiaceae.
UGGGGAAUAUUGGACAAUGGGCGCAAGCCUGAUCCAGCCAUGCCGCGUGAGUGAUGAAGGCCCUAGGGUUGUAAAGCUCUUUCACCGGAGAAGAUAAUGACGGUAUCCGGAGAAGAAGCCCCGGCUAACUUCGUGCCAGCAGCCGCGGUAAUACGAAGGGGGCUAGCGUUGUUCGGAUUUACUGGGCGUAAAGCGCACGUAGGCGGAUCGAUCAGUCAGGGGUGAAAUCCCAGAGCUCAACUCUGGAACUGCCUUUGAUACUGUCGAUCUGGAGUAUGGAAGAGGUGAGUGGAAUUCCGAGUGUAGAGGUGAAAUUCGUAGAUAUUCGGAGGAACACCAGUGGCGAAGGCGGCUCACUGGUCCAUUACUGACGCUGAGGUGCGAAAGCGUGGGGAGCAAACA